RNAcentral lists this unclassified non-coding RNA (348 nucleotides) under Hevea brasiliensis (rubber tree). The record is from RNAcentral. Lineage: Eukaryota; Viridiplantae; Streptophyta; Magnoliopsida; Malpighiales; Euphorbiaceae.
GGAACACUGGAACUUUAUGGAAUCAGACAUUUUUAUUGAGUUCUUGAACAUCAUGCAAGAGUGAUUUAAAAUUUCAUUCUCCUGUUUAAGUUAUAUGCAUUUGUUGUCUCUAGCAAGUGACAAUUACAGAUUUUGUUCUGCUGUACAUCUUUGCAGUAACAAUGCCUGGUCAAUGAAAGUUCUCCACUUAUGAACUAUGUUAUGAAUGAGAGUUUUUCAAAACUUCCUGUGCACAUUAUUUCUUUUCUUUCAUUCUUGAAAGAAGAUGUUUUCCUUUUUAACAAAGUUGUUCACUUCCAUAUUCAUGUGGUUAUCUAUGUUGCAGGCUUUGCCUUGGUGCAUGGUCUG